Monodelphis domestica (gray short-tailed opossum) is the source of this 3465-nucleotide non-coding RNA. The record is from RefSeq and is a predicted model, not a curated record. Lineage: Eukaryota; Metazoa; Chordata; Mammalia; Didelphimorphia; Didelphidae.
AGGGAGGCAUAGGGAGAGAUGGAACGAUGGGAAGUUGGGAUCAGAGCGGGAUCAUGGAGUUUUUAAGUAAAAAACACUGAACUCUGGCAGAUACUGUGGAGCUCAGUACAUGCCCAAUCCUAUGUGUGGCUGAGACAGAAUGGAGAAGACCAUGGUACUGAAAGAGUUUGAGAUAGCCUCAGUGCAGGGCAGGAGAGGAAAGAGGAAAGGCACCCUGCCUUCCCCAUGGCUGCUCUAGGAUGCUUUCACGGGUUGCUAGGAGACGGGAAACAGCCACCCUUUGUGUCCUGAGGGCUCUGCAGAAAAGCCCCGCUUUCCUCGGGAGACCUUGGCUCCUCGCCUCUGAUCCAAGGUCGGAGAAUGGGGAUAACGGCAAUCGUGCACCUUCAGGCUGCUCCAAGAAGCUCGUGAUGGGCUGCUGAGGCCACCAGCCACUCUCACAUACUUCCUGGGCACCCCAACACCAGCCCUGUGUCUAGCUUUGACCAUACUGGUCCCCUUGUGACGGCACCGCUGAGCAUGACGUGACUGAGGCUUACGGACCUGUCAGGUACAGAUCUGCUCUGCCACAAGAGAGUCCAGCCAAGUAAAACAAGAUUCAAGAUCAGAGGGACCAUUUACUUCAACUUAUGGAACUUGAAGGAUCAAGUUCUCACACUAAAACAAGAUGAGGAACAACCUAUAUUUGAGGAUAUGAAUGACACUGAAAUUAAUGAAUACGUGCUCCUUGAGACCGGAACAACCUCCAGGAAGUGAUGCAGAGCGAGAGGAGCAGAACCAGGAGAACAUUGUACACAGAGACUGAUACACUGUGGCACAAUCGAAUGUAACAGACUUCUCCAUUAGUGUCAGUGCAGUGAUCCUGAACAAUCUGCAGGGAUCUAGGAGAAAAAACACUAUCCACAAGCAGAGGACAAACUGUGGGAGUAAAAACACCGAUGAAAAGCAACUGCCUGAAUACAGAGGUUGAGGGGACAUGACAGAGGAGAAACUCUAAAUGAACACUCUAAUGCAAAUGCCAACAACAUGGAAAUGGGUUCGAAUCAAGAACACAUGUGAUACCCAGUGGAAUCACACGUCAGCUAUGGGAGGGGUUGGGGGGGAGGAAAAGAAAAUGAUCUUUGUCUCCAAUGAUUAAUGUUUGGAAAUGACCAAAUAAUGUUAAAAAAGAAUACGUGCUCCUUGAAAUCAGAGGCUGGCUGGCUUUCUAUUUUGUAUUCCCAGUGAUUUUCACAUAAUAAAUGCUUAUUUAAUGUAUUUUCAUUCACAAAUUCAUUUAAAAAUGCUUCACAAUCUGGCUUUCAACCUCAUCACUCAAUUGAAAUGUUUUUCUCCAUAGUUAACAACUCUUUAAUUGUCAGAUCUAAGUAUACUUUCUCAGUUUCCAUCCAUCUUAACCUCUCUGCAGCACCUAACACUGUUGAUUACCCUCUCUUGGACAUUUUCUCUUUUCUGGGUUUUUGUGAUACUGUUCUUCUAGUUCUUCUCUUACCUAUCUGACCACUCUUUCUCAGUUUCUUUUGCUGGCUCAUCAUCCAUAUCAUUCCCCCUAAGAGUGCAGUCCAAAGUUCUGUCUUGGGUGCUUUUCUCUUUUUAUUAUCAUUAUCCCCCAAGUCUUUGUCCUGGGACUUCUUCUUUUCUUCCUCUGUACCCUAGCCCUUCAGUUCCCAAGGGUUAAAUUAUCACCUCUAUGCAGAUGACUCACAGAUUUAUUAUUAGUCUCUCUUGAGCUCCAGUCCUGUAUUAACAACUAGCUAUUAAACACUUCAAACUGAAUGUCCUAUAGACAUCCUGAAUACAACAUAGCCAAAUCAGGACUCAUCUUUUUCCACCCUCUUCUGAAUUGCCCAAUUUCUUUUGAGGACACCAUCAUUCUUCCAGCCUCCCAGAUUUGUAUCUUCAUCAUUAAUCUCAACAUCUCAUUCCCUUUGGUGGUGAUGGUUGUCCAUCAAACUCAAAGAGGAAUCACACACACACGUGCACAUUCACAAUAAUGGAAAUUCAUUGAAAGAAGAGACUUUUAUUUUUAAUCUUUGUAUACCCUAGAUGCCUAGAACACAAAUACUUGGUGAUUGAUUAAUUAAUUGGAUAAUGUACCUUCUAUGUACAUGUACAUUCUAUGUACUGUGAAACAAAAUGUUUCACAGUAAAGGGCUGAGGACAGAGUCCUGUAAAGCAGCCCUAGAUAGGCUUGUCCCUUUAAUUUGACACUGACCACACUCAUUUUUUUGAAUAUCAUGUUUACCUACAAUGAUAUGAUUUUUUUUUUUUGGUUUUACAUGGUUUUACUUUAUUCAGUUUGGAUGUAAUCUCUUCCAGAGUUAACUCUACUUCAGCUUGUAGAUGAAAUAAAAAUGUAGAAAGGUCCACUUCGCACUGUUGGCACAUUUGUGGGCAUCUCUUCCCUUAUUCAACUCAGGUUUAACUAGCACAAAGAAUUUAGAUUCCAGUUUCACAAAGCAGUCAACUGUAGAAAAGUCUAUCGGAAGAGUCAUAUGCUGAAAAGUAACCUAAUACCAGUAAUGAUCUCUACAAUGAUUCUUGAGGUACAAGUUACUGUAAUUUGAGUUUAAAAAACAGACCAAGAGGAAUUCUCUCAAGUGGGUUUAAAUGAGUUUUUUAUUUUAGACAACCUACAUGACAUGUUUUUAAAAACGAUGCCUCCACUCCAGAUAAAUCAGGUCAAAAAUAAAUGAAUAAAGCUCAAGAUGAUAUCAGUCCAAAUUUGUCCAAGUCCUGGUGAUGUGUAGAUGACAAAAAGCAGCAGCCAGUUAUGAUGACAGGUGAUGCAAAGUAAUCAGCUGAAUUUGUUAACAUUUCUCCAUUUCUAAACCAUCCUUAAAGAAAAUCACAUAUGGGGUCACACCAUCCUCAUGGAAAUCCAAGAGAGCCACCAUGCCAUCUGGAUUCAUGUUUUUGCCUAUGAAGAACUGAUAGUUAUUAAAAUUAGCAAGGAUAUGUUUGAUUUGUUCUGUAGCUCCUGUCAUAAAAGGUUUUACUCUAUUUGGCUUCUGUUCUUCAAGUCUGCCUUUGAUUGAUUUCAUGUAGACUUUGAUGUACUUUUUGUAGGAUUCUUUUGUGAAGCUAGUUUCUUGCAGAUGAUGGUUUAUAACUAUAUCAACUCCAGUGAUUACAGUGGCAUGUGUUCCUUCACCCUCAGGACCUUCAGCAGAGGCAUUUCCACCAAUGAGUGAAUCAUCAAUGGUACCCUCUGUCCUACUGACCAUCUUCCCCUCCACCUCCAGGCACAGCCCAUUCGCGAUCUCCCAGAUCUUGUAAAUGUCGGAGAACAUCUCACCAUGGCUGAUGAGGUCCCGGUAGAUAAUCAUGGCGGUGGAAGGAGGGAGCGGUGGCACUACUGCUGCGGGGGCCCGGAGCUCGGUGUGAGCACGAUGCAGCCGGAGCGGCGCUUCGAUAUGAUUUCUUAAACAUAAUAGGAAAUCAAGAUAAACUUUUUCCAUAGCA